AUUGAACGCUGGCGGCAGGCCUAACACAUGCAAGUCGAACGGUAACAGGAAGAAGCUUGCUUCUUUGCUGACGAGUGGCGGACGGGUGAGUAAUGUCUGGGAAACUGCCUGAUGGAGGGGGAUAACUACUGGAAACGGUAGCUAAUACCGCAUAACGUCGCAAGACCAAAGAGGGGGACCCUCGGGCCUCUUGCCAUCGGAUGUGCCCAGAUGGGAUUAGCUAGUAGGUGGGGUAACGGCUCACCUAGGCGACGAUCCCUAGCUGGUCUGAGAGGAUGACCAGCCACACUGGAACUGAGACACGGUCCAGACUCCUACGGGAGGCAGCAGUGGGGAAUAUUGCACAAUGGGCGCAAGCCUGAUGCAGCCAUGCCGCGUGUAUGAAGAAGGCCUUCGGGUUGUAAAGUACUUUCAGCGGGGAGGAAGCGAGUAAAGUUAAUACCUUUGCUCAUUGACGUUACCCGCAGAAGAAGCACCGGCUAACUCCGUG
RNAcentral lists this ribosomal RNA (490 nucleotides) under uncultured bacterium. RNAcentral's name for it is "partial 16S ribosomal RNA". It matches the Rfam family "Bacterial small subunit ribosomal RNA", at positions 30 to 507 of the family's 1533-position model. The record is from RNAcentral.